CCUACGGGGGACAGCAGUGAGGAAUAUUGGUCAAUGGACGAGUGUCUGAACCAGCCAAGUAGCGUGAAGGAUGACUGCCCUAUGGGUUGUAAACUUCUUUUAUAAAGGAAUAAAACGAGGCACGUGUGCCUUUUUGCAUGUACUUUAUGAAUAAGGAUCGGCUAACACCGUGCCAGCAGCCGCGGUAAUACGGAGGAUCCGAGCGUUAUCCGGAUUUAUUGGGUUUAAAGGGAGCGUAGAUGGGUUGUUAAGUCAGUUGUGAAAGUUUGCGGCUCAACCGUAAAAUUGCAAUUGAUACUGGCAGUCUUGAGUACAGUUGAGGUAGGCGGAAUUCGUGGUGUAGCGGUGAAAUGCUUAGAUAUCACGAAGAACCCCGAUUGCGAAGGCAGCUUACUAAACUGUGACUGACAUUGAUGCUCGAAAGUGUGGGGAUCAAACAGGAUUAGAUACCCGUGUAGUC
This 460-nucleotide ribosomal RNA is filed under the name uncultured bacterium. RNAcentral's name for it is "partial 16S ribosomal RNA". It matches the Rfam family "Bacterial small subunit ribosomal RNA", at positions 338 to 795 of the family's 1533-position model. The record is from RNAcentral.